GCCUCGUUAGCGCAGUAGGCGGAGCGUCAGUAUCAUAAUCGAAUGUAGAAGUCUGAUUGUCGUGAGUUCGAUCCUUACACGGAGCA
This is a non-coding RNA of Nematostella vectensis (starlet sea anemone), 86 nucleotides long. The record is from Rfam. NCBI's taxonomy places the organism in Eukaryota, Metazoa, Cnidaria, Anthozoa, Actiniaria, Edwardsiidae.